GGAAUGAAUUGUUGCGAUACAUAUAAUAAAAAUACUUUUCGCUUAUCUAUCAAAAAAUGCAGAUUGUCAAAUUUAAAACUUUACAACGAAAGUGUAGCCGAUUUCAACGAAAGUGUUCCUUGCUCUUUCCUUAAGCAAGUUUUAAAUUAAAUUCUAAUGAUACGAAUGACAGUUCGAAAUUCAAAGUGUUCUUUUUCAAAAUUUAGUACAGAUUGUAUAUCAAUUGUAGAUAUAUCGAAAUUUUCGGCCGCAAACGAGCAUUUGACAAAAUGAGGGCGACCAGUUGCAGACCAAUUCCAUUGAUCAACUUUCGGAUUGUGAGAUGUUUCUAUCGGCCACGACGAUUGAACAAGUAUUACGAUAUUUACAGAAUAGCUGCCCUUGCGCGGGAUCGCGCCUGUCUCUUCACUUGCCAGCAGGCCUCGCAGAACCUGCAGCAGCAGCAGCCCCGCUUUUACAGCGCGCCAGGUCGCAGGGCCGGCUUUUUCUCGCAGUUCUUCGACAACAUGAAAGCGGAGAUGGAUAAGAACAAGGAGAUCAAGGACAAUAUCCGAAAGUUCCGCGAGGAGGCCCAGAAGCUGGAGGAAUCGGACGCCCUGAAGUCGGCGCGACAGAAGUUUAACAUUGUCGAAUCGGAGGCGCAAAAGUCGUCUAGCAUGCUGAAGGAGCAGCUGGGCGCUAUCAAGGAGCGCGUAGGCGAUGUCCUGGAGGACGCCAGCAAAUCGGACCUGGCCAAAAAGGUUACCGAGGAGCUCUCGAAAAAGGCCAAGGGGGUCAGCGAAUCGAUCUCCGACACCAGUGGCAAGCUGGGCCAGACCACCGCUUUCCAAGCCAUCUCUAACACGACGACGACUAUCAAGAAGGAGAUGGAUAGUGCGAGCAUAGAAAAUCGGGUCUAUCGCGCUCCUGCCCAGUUGCGCAAGCGCGUCCAGCUCGACAUGAGCGAUAGCGAUCGCGUUGUGGAGCCCAACACGGAAGCAACUGGAAUGGAGCUGCACAAGGACUCAAAAUUCUACGAGUCGUGGGAGAACUUCAAGAACAAUAAUACCUACGUGAACAAGGUGCUUGACUGGAAGGUUAAAUACGACGAGUCUGAGAACCCUGUGAUUCGUGCCUCCCGCCUGCUCACCGACAAAGUGUCUGACGUCAUGGGCGGACUCUUUUCCAAGACGGAGCUUUCAGAAACGAUGACGGAGCUGGUGAAGAUCGAUCCGAGCUUCGAUCAGAAGGAUUUCCUUCGCGACUGCGAAACGGAUAUCAUUCCAAAUAUUCUGGAGUCGAUUGUCCGGGGAGACUUAGAGAUACUGAAGGACUGGUGCUUUGAGAGCACUUUCAAUAUUAUCGCCAAUCCCAUUAAGGAGGCUAAGAAGGCUGGACUGUACCUGGACUCCAAGAUCCUCGACAUCGAGAAUAUCGAACUGGCAAUGGGCAAGGUUAUGGAGCAGGGUCCCGUACUGAUCAUCACGUUCCAAGCCCAGCAGAUUAUGUGUGUGCGGGACCAGAAGAGUCAGGUCGUCGAGGGCGAUCCGGAGAAGGUGAUGCGGGUACACUACGUCUGGGUGCUGUGCCGCGACCGCAACGAACUCAACCCCAAGGCUGCCUGGCGGUUGAUGGAGCUGUCCGCCAACAGCUCGGAGCAAUUUGUUUAGCGCGCUGCCACGCCUUUCUUUUUUACCGAGCCGUUUAAGUUUCCCUCAUUUUCUCACCCACAAAACAAACGAAAAGAUUACUGGACACUGAGCAUUGACGACGAACUGACCACGAACUCGACCCGCAGGACUCUAUUAAGUGUGUACAAAGGUUUCGCUUUCGAUUGCUUUGAAAGUUUUGUCCGCGACUAGUCGACUGCGUCGUCCGGCAGGGGCUGCUGGUCGGUCCCGUGAAAGAUUCCCCCACGAAUUCCGGGCGCAGCAGACUGCCGGCUCCGGCGCGGCUCAUCCCCCAAUGACGCCCCGGUUGGCCGUUCCUUGCGGCCACGCUCCCCGCCGGUCCACUUCCAGCGAGAACGGAAGCAGGGAUCGGUGCGGGGAUUGGCCGUCGGGAUCGUGGUUCCCCCGCUGGUGUCCUGGCCAAAUCUAUAAUGUUGAAGCUUAAAGUGCAACCGCCGGUGUAGGCGUAUAAGUAGUGACCAUAAGCAAAUUGUUGAGUAUAGUUGAGUUUAGGUAUUUUAAGGCCCCACCCCCUCCAGAUCCCUUCUCUUGUAAAUAUGGAAUUCGCUCAGGGCAGCUUGGGCAUGGUAAAUUGACUGUACACACAGAAUCCAAAGAGUUAUGUACCAUUGAAGCAGCUGGAGAGUUCUUGAGAAAUAAGUGUUACGUUGCCUUAUUUUAAUCACAGGCAUCCAAGUUUAUGGUUGCCCGUUGAAUAGGGCAUCCUUAGGCGCCAUGCUACUAGGUCUAUAAAAUAAAAAUCCAAUACUAUUACACAAUCCAUUUAUUUUGGUGUUUUUAAAACAUGAAAAGCACACAGAAAGCUGAGCAAUAAACAGUGACCAUAAAACAA
This 2502-nucleotide unclassified non-coding RNA is filed under the name Drosophila yakuba. Its description in RNAcentral is "GE25149". Lineage: Eukaryota; Metazoa; Arthropoda; Insecta; Diptera; Drosophilidae. The record is from RNAcentral.